GACGAACGCUGGCGGCGUGCCUAAUACAUGCAAGUAGAACGCUGAAGGAGGAGCUUGCUUCUCUGGAUGAGUUGCGAACGGGUGAGUAACGCGUAGGUAACCUGCCUGGUAGCGGGGGAUAACUAUUGGAAACGAUAGCUAAUACCGCAUAAGAGUAGAUGUUGCAUGACAUUUGCUUAAAAGGUGCAAUUGCAUCACUACCAGAUGGACCUGCGUUGUAUUAGCUAGUUGGUGGGGUAACGGCUCACCAAGGCGACGAUACAUAGCCGACCUGAGAGGGGGAUCGGCCACACUGGGACUGGGACACGGCCCAGACUCCUACGGGAGGCAGCAGUAGGGAAUCUUCGGCAAUGGACGGAAGUCUGACCGAGCAACGCCGCGUGAGUGAAGAAGGGUUUCGGAUCGUAAAGCUCUGUUGUAAGAGAAGAACGAGUGUGAGAGUGGAAAGUUCACACUGUGACGGUAUCUUACCAGAAAGGGACGGCUAACUACGUG
Molecule: ribosomal RNA, 495 nt
Filed under: uncultured bacterium
Lineage: Bacteria
Description: partial 16S ribosomal RNA
Rfam family: Bacterial small subunit ribosomal RNA
Source: RNAcentral